Molecule: unclassified non-coding RNA, 199 nt
Filed under: rhizosphere metagenome
Description: partial ribosomal RNA internal transcribed spacer region
Source: RNAcentral
GUAGUCACCCGGGUUGCCGCAAGGCCUCUCGGGUAACCUACCACCCCUUGUUUAUUACACUUUGUUGCUUUGGCAAGCCUGCCCUCGGGCUGCUGGCUCCGGCCGGCGAGCGCUUGCCAGAGGACCCCAAACUCUUUUGUUAAUGUCGUCUGAGUACUAUAUAAUAGUUAAAACUUUCAACAACGGAUCUCUUGGUUCU